Molecule: ribosomal RNA, 497 nt
Filed under: uncultured bacterium
Lineage: Bacteria
Description: partial 16S ribosomal RNA
Rfam family: Bacterial small subunit ribosomal RNA
Source: RNAcentral
GAUGAACGCUGGCGGCGUGCCUAAUACAUGCAAGUCGAGCGAACGGACGAGAAGCUUGCUUCUGUGAUGUUAGCGGCGGACGGGUGAUUAACCCGUGGAUAACCUACCUAUAAGACUGGGAUAACUUCGGGAAACCGGAGCUAAUACCGGAUAAUAUUUUGAACCGCAUGGUUCAAAAGUGAAAGCCGGUCUUGCUGUCCCUUAUAGAUGGAUCCGCGCUGCAUUAGCUAGUUGGUAAGGUAACGGCUUACCAAGGCAACGAUGCAUAGCCGACCUGAGAGGGUGAUCGGCCACACUGGAACUGAGACACGGUCCAGACUCCUACGGGAGGCAGCAGUGGGGAAUCUUCCGCAAAGGGCGAAAGCCUGACGGAGCAACGCCGCGUGAGUGAUGAAGGUCUUCGGAUCGUAAAACUCUGUUAUUAGGGAAGAACAUAUGUGUAAGUAACUGUGCACAUCUUGACGGUACCUAAUCAGAAAGCCACGGCUAACUACGUG